CUGAGCGCCGCUCAUGCAUGUGGAAUGAGGAUACACCGCAACUGCGUUGGCUGGUGCGAGAUUUCACCACACUUGCCUGUGGCCGCUCCUGUGGGAUAAGCUGAGACGGAAGCAUCCAGCAGUGGCUUUCACAUCUUUACCUGCCAUGAUGAAAAGUUGCAUAAGAUCUUCCCUGAUCUACAUGUAAUCAACAAAUUUGUCAAACUCCUGUGUGAUCUACAACCUUCACAAGUAGACAAAAUGAAGCUAAAGCAUACUAUCAAUCCUGUUCUUCUGCAGUUAAUACACUUGAUAAUAUUGGUAUACUCAUUUAUAACAUACAUUCCAUGGUAUAUACUAUCUGGCUCAAGACAGACUGUAGCAAAAUCAAAACAAAUUAAAGCUAAACCUGUGAAAAACAAACCUGGUAGUCCAUACAGGUCUGUUAACAGUUUGCAUUGCUUAGCUUCAGUUUUAUAUCCUGGAUGUGACACACUUGACAAAGUUUUCAAGUAUGCUAAAACUAAAUUUAAGGACAAAAAACUCUUAGGAACACGUGAAGUCCUAAAAGAGGAAGAUGAAAUCCAGCCCUCUGGAAAAGUUUUUAAAAAGGUCAUCCUUGGAAAAUACACUUGGCUCUCAUAUGAUGAAGUCUGUGUUAAAGCUACUAAUUUUGGAAAUGGCUUAGCAGUAUUGGGGCAGCAACCGAAGACUAACAUUGCCAUCUUCUGUGAGACUAGAGCAGAGUGGAUGAUUGUUGCACAGGCCUGCUUUAUGUGCAAUUACCAACUUGUUACGCUGUAUGCUACAUUAGGAGGCCCAGCAAUAGUACAUGGACUAAAUGAAAGUGAGGUGACAACCAUCAUUACUAGUAAAGAACUGAUGCAAACAAAAUUGAAGGAAAUUGUUUCUCAGGUUCCACUAUUGAGGCAUAUUAUUACUGUGGAUGGCAAACCAACAACAUGGUCAGAAUUCCCAAAGGGUAUCAUUGUUCACACUAUGGCUUCUGUGCAAGCAAUGGGGGCCAAGGCAGAUAAUGUAAGCAAACAGCAGGCCAGGCCUGUACCCUCAGAUAUUGCAGUAAUCAUGUAUACAAGUGGAUCAACAGGACUUCCAAAAGGAGUCAUGAUUUCUCAUUGCAACCUUAUUGCUGGUGUAACUGGGAUGGCUGAAAGAAUUCCUCAUUUGGGGGAAAAAGACAUUUAUAUUGGAUAUUUGCCUCUUGCUCAUGUUCUGGAAUUAUGUGCUGAACUUGUUUGUCUAUCUCAUGGAUGCCGUAUUGGCUACUCAUCACCCCAGACGUUAGCUGAUCAGUCCUCUAAAAUAAAGAAAGGAAGCAAAGGAGAUGUUACUAUCCUUAGACCUACGCUAAUGGCAUCUGUACCGGAGAUCAUGGAUCGGAUCUACAAAAAUGUCAUGAAUAAAGUGAAUGAAAUGUCCAGUUUCCAAAGGAAUCUGUUUAUAUUGGCCUACAAUUACAAAAUGGAACAGAUUUCAAAAGGCUAUACUACGCCACUUUGUGACAGCCUUAUUUUCCGGAAAGUACGAAUGCUGCUAGGUGGUAAAAUUCGCACCUUACUAUGUGGAGGAGCUCCACUUUCUGCUGCAACUCAGAGAUUUAUGAACAUCUGUUUCUGUUGCCCUGUGGGACAGGGAUAUGGACUAACUGAGUCAGCUGGGGCUGGAACAAUCACUGAAGUUUGGGACUACACUACAGGGAGAGUAGGGGCACCUUUGGUUUGCUGUGAAAUCAAAUUAAUGAACUGGGAAGAAGGUGGAUAUUAUAAUACUGAUAAACCAUAUCCUAGAGGUGAGAUUCUUAUUGGAGGCCAAAAUGUGACCAUGGGCUACUACAAAAACGAAGAACGAACCAAAAAAGAUUUCACUGUGGAUGAGAAUGGACAGAGGUGGCUCCAUACUGGAGACAUUGGGGAGUUCCAUGCAGAUGGAUGUCUAAAAAUAAUUGAUCGUAAGAAAGAUCUUGUAAAACUCCAGGCUGGAGAAUACGUCUCUCUUGGCAAAGUUGAGGCAGCUUUGAAGAAUCUGCCGCUGGUAGAUAAUAUUUGUGCAUAUGCAAGCAGUACAACCCAUUCCAGGCAUUAUUCUGAGAAUGUUGCCUGCACCCCCCCCCCGCACUGAGGACGACUGACUAGACCCAUCAGUGGAUGAGCAGAAGGAUGCCGAAGGGGAGCUGCCCCCUGAGAGCCUGUGAUUCUGGAAUCUGACUAUGGCCUGCUGGAAAGCCAGCCCAGUCAUGCCCUUCUACAACAGACCUUUGUUCGUGCCCUGCAUCGGCUGAGCCAGAAUCCUAGACACAAACACAGGCCAGGCCUGAAGAGUCAAAUCCCGUACAGGGAACUUCAGCUCCCCCUGCAAUAGCCAGAUCAUCAAGGACCAGCUGUGUGCUGCUGACAGACUGGUCAACCUGAAGGGGAGAAAAAAGAAGACUCAAGACAAGGUGUUUACAGAACUCAUGGCAGAGACACAAAGGAAAACCAGGCUGGCUGAGAGCUGGAGACUGUAUAUGAGGGAGGGAGAAAGAAGUGCAGCUGCCCCAGAGAUUGUGGCAGUGGGCAAGGACAGCGUUGCAGUGACCAGUGAAAGUAUGGCUGUGGCCAAGGACCGCAUCACCAUGGUGAAGGAGAGCAUGGAAAAAGACAGAGAGAUUCAGAGGCAACUCAUGGAUGCUCUCCUGAGACAGAACAUCCUCUUGGAAAAAUGUGCUUCUGCUAGGCCAGCAGGCCCUGCAGUCCCAUAAUUUGGGACCUAGUCAUGUUCUUCAGACUCUGGACAGCACUAACUCCUAAUGUCUGCAUCCCCACAGCAAUGCUUCCAGCAGUUCCCGUUCACCUCUCAAAUCCAACCUCGAGGCACUGAGACACUUGCACUUGGGAGUCCAGUUCUUUUGAGCCCUACAAUGCCUCUGAGAAUUUUGAGCCCAGGCACUCAACCUGAGAACCUACAUGGAUGAGAAGAGUGAGGGGCAAGGUGUAUACUUGCCUUUAACUUUCUGCAUCCCUCCUCCAAAUUGUUGCAUUUGAAAUUUCUUAUUGUUGCACUUGUUAAAGGGUUUUAUGCAGUUGGUUAUUUAAGAAGAUUGGUUAGUUAAGUAGGGUUCCCAAUACAAUUUUUUCCCAUUUGUUCCAUUAAAAGGUUUGUAUUUGGUGUUUUUAUU
Non-coding RNA from Chelonoidis abingdonii (Abingdon island giant tortoise), 3154 nucleotides. Lineage: Eukaryota; Metazoa; Chordata; Testudines; Testudinidae. The record is from RefSeq and is a predicted model, not a curated record.